UACGUAGGGCGCGAGCGUUGUCCGGAAUUAUUGGGCGUAAAGAGCUCGUAGGCGGCCUGUUGCGUCCGCUGUGAAAUCCCGGGGCUCAACCCUGGGCGUGCAGUGGAUACGGGCAGGCUGGAGGCAGGCAGGGGAGAACGGAAUUCCCGGUGUAGCGGUGAAAUGCGUAGAUAUCGGAAGGAACACCUGUGGCGAAAGCGGCUCACUGGACCAUUACUGACGCUGAGGCACGAAAGCUAGGGGAGCAAACAGG
RNAcentral lists this ribosomal RNA (253 nucleotides) under uncultured bacterium. RNAcentral describes it as "partial 16S ribosomal RNA". It matches the Rfam family "Bacterial small subunit ribosomal RNA", at positions 524 to 776 of the family's 1533-position model. The record is from RNAcentral.